CAGGAUAAGUAAUGUACGUGCGGUGACUGCACCAGCAGAAUAGUGAGUGCAGCUCUGGAGUAUAAUACAGGAUGUAACUCAGGAUCAGUACAGGAUAAGUAAUGUACGUGCGCGGUGACUGCACCAGCAGAAUAGUGAGUGCAGCUCUGGAGUAUAAUACAGGAUGUAACUCA
Long non-coding RNA from Bufo bufo (common toad), 173 nucleotides. RefSeq lists it as uncharacterized. The transcript has 3 exons. Lineage: Eukaryota; Metazoa; Chordata; Amphibia; Anura; Bufonidae. The record is from RefSeq and is a predicted model, not a curated record.